UCCCGCUAUGUUUCCCACAUAGUUCAAAGCUUUGCUCCAUGCUUGCUUCUUAUCCUCCGUUUGAUGUGCACAAGUUUCCUUGAAAGCGAUCCCAAAAUCUCCGGUUUGUUUGCGAACAUCAGAAGGAUCUACUCCGUAGAAGACAGUCAUCACGAUUUGCCCAAAUUUUUUUUGGCAAUCGACAAUGUCCAAAAGCUCAUCCAAACACCAACUGGAAGAUGCAUAGCUCUUUGUGAGCAAUACGAUCGCGAUCCUCGAUUCUCUAAUGGCUGUCUUGAGAGAUGAGGCAAUGGUGUGGCCUCUCUCCAUCCAUUGAUCAUUGAACAUCGUAAUUCCAUUGUCGCUGAACUGUUUACGUAAAUGGGUGAGAAGUGUCUGACGGACGUCUGGUCCAUGGAAGCUAGUGAAGACAUGGUAUCUCCAGUUUCGAGGUGGGGAAGAAGAAGAAGAAGCCAUGACAGGUGAAGAAGAAGAAGAAGCCAUGAGCAGAGAUGAUCUUGAGUGGUUAAGAAAGUGUUAGGAUAAGAAAUGGGAAAAUAGCAACUCACUUAUAUAUAUAGAGAGAGAGAGAUGGGAAGUUUCUUUGCAAAGUUAAGGAAAUUUCAAACAAUGUAAAUAGAGAAGAAAAAGAAAAGUCAAUGAAAUUUUGGACUCAAUAUUGCAAACGCGUAAAGAAGCAGCUUACAUAGCAAGUUGUAUAGUCUCCAUUCUUGGCCUGAUUCCCAGAUGUGUUUAGGAUAAGCAAAGCUGUGUUCACUUAUUGUGAUAGAGANNN
RNAcentral lists this long non-coding RNA (775 nucleotides) under Capsella grandiflora. Its description in RNAcentral is "long non-coding RNA (CGRA_LNC001626)". The record is from RNAcentral. Lineage: Eukaryota; Viridiplantae; Streptophyta; Magnoliopsida; Brassicales; Brassicaceae.